Molecule: ribosomal RNA, 253 nt
Filed under: uncultured bacterium
Lineage: Bacteria
Description: partial 16S ribosomal RNA
Rfam family: Bacterial small subunit ribosomal RNA
Source: RNAcentral
UACGUAGGGAGCAAGCGUUGUUCGGAAUUACUGGGCGUAAAGGGCGCGUAGGUGGCCUGUUAAGUCGAACGUGAAAUCCCCGGGCUCAACCCGGGAACUGCGUCCGAGACUGGCAGGCUCGAAUCCGGGAGAGGGAUGUGGAAUUCCAGGUGUAGCGGUGAAAUGCGUAGAUAUCUGGAGGAACACCGGUGGCGAAGGCGGCAUCCUGGACCGGUAUUGACGCUGAGGCGCGAAAGCCAGGGGAGCAAACGGG